UGGGGCUACCUUGGCUAGCAGCAAGUUAGCCUCGUGGGCAAGCAUACGCCAAGAUGAAUGAAGGCACAAAACUAAGGCGAAUGCCACAGCUCCAGUGUGGGAAUAUUUCAGUUUUAAAAACAGAAUGAGCAAGGUGGACUGGCUGUUUGAGUGUGUGGAAACAGAAGAACAACAGUUGAAUCUGGGACUUACCGAAUACAGGAAGUAUUACGCCGAGUUUGCCCGAGUCAUGCUGGAGGGACCGGAAGAUGGUUGUUUUUUCAGUUGAGACUUUUUUUUUUGUUUUCAUUUAGACAAAAGUAAACAUAUACAGCAAAUGUGGCAUCACUUUGAAGUAAAUUUCCAGAAUGAAAUAGUGCCAGAACAGGCUGCUGCCAAACAUAAAGGAAAUUAGGAAAUAAAAGUACACAUAAUUAACAAAAUAAAUGGUAAAAAAAAAAAAGGUUAAAAAUUUUUUUUAAUGAUAAACUAGGCGUUUCUUACAAUAUUCAGAUCAUUAAUUGGAUGAGAUAGUUCCACGGCUUGUUUUGUCCAAGGUGGACAAAAAAGAAAGCUACAUUGUGAAAUACGUGUUGCUGACCUUUUGAACCCACUAAUAUACAAAAUACCACAGAAUGGAAGUUGGACUACCUCAAGUUCUCAGGUUUUGGACAGGUGCAAUACUACAGUGUGCAUGUCUGAUGGGGCUCACAGUGGGCGAUGCUCAGGUCGGUGUGUGAAUGCUCAGACAGUGGGAAAAUUGGCAGACACGCAUACAAACACACAUCUAAUCUGUUUAAAUGCAAGUGAGAGGCCUUCUGUUGAGUCAUCUUCCCCACCUUGAGCAGAUUAUGAAGUAUAAACUCAGAUAAAAUGUCACCAGAUAAG
Long non-coding RNA from Dunckerocampus dactyliophorus (ringed pipefish), 867 nucleotides. RefSeq lists it as uncharacterized. The transcript is spliced from 3 exons. Lineage: Eukaryota; Metazoa; Chordata; Actinopteri; Syngnathiformes; Syngnathidae. The record is from RefSeq and is a predicted model, not a curated record.